Molecule: long non-coding RNA, 890 nt
Organism: Triticum dicoccoides
Lineage: Eukaryota; Viridiplantae; Streptophyta; Magnoliopsida; Poales; Poaceae
Exons: 3
Source: RefSeq, a predicted model, not a curated record
CCAUCUCCGAUUCCUCCUCGGCGAUUCCUUCUCUCCUCGCCGCAUCCCCGUCCCCGUGCCCUUCUCCAAACUCCACCAUCCCCGUCCCGUACUCCCUCCCUUGGAAAAGAUCAAUUGGAGGAGUAAUUCCGGCUUCAUCCGGUGGUGGCGAUGCCGGAAAAGAUCGAUUUUUUUUGACGGGAGGAGUAAUUCCGGCUUGAUCCGGUGGUGCCGAUGCCGGAUCCUGCGACGGCGCCGACGCGAGCCACCAAGGGCCGUGGACUCCCUCUCCGGCUGCGAUUCCGCCAAACCCUGUCGUCUCGGCGUCCCAGCGACCAUCUCCGAGGCGGAUAAAAUCGUUUCUUUCGGUAGCAGCCCGAGGAGAAGGCCCGGACAAAUCCUCGGAGCAGUAAGCCCGCCGCUCCAGCACCUUUCCUCACCGCCGUCGUCAUCAAGAUCACAAGAGCAGGACUCUUUGGACGGUGCUGAAGAUUGACCGGUUGGAGUCUAUUGAUUUGGGUAUCCAGGAGUAUCCUACUAGUUACACGGAGAAUUGAUUGUCAAGAACUAAUUUGGCGGAUUCACGAGGGAAAUAGGUUUUCUGAAGUUUCUUGGUCCUUACUACAUGGUUCCAAUUACCAGGAGAAGAAAAGUUGGCAGAAUCUGUGGUCAUUAUAUUUUUAUUCAAUUGGAAAGAGUGAAAUGGUUGCAAUAGAAAUCUGCAUUUAAGUCUUCAGCUCUCAUAUUCUUUUUGUGGUUUAUUUAUUUAUACACUCAGAGAGAGGACUGGUUAGCUUAGGCCAUCGGAGUAUCUGUUUGAUUGAUGUGAUGAAUUUCAAUUCUGCCUUGGAGUAUUUAUUUAUUGAGCUUUACCUGUCUUUUUCUCAGGUUCUCUUGGUGGUCGGAAUUUU